Molecule: transfer RNA, 73 nt
Filed under: Candidatus Kerfeldbacteria bacterium CG08_land_8_20_14_0_20_42_7
Lineage: Bacteria; Candidatus Kerfeldiibacteriota
Also listed under: 1 other name
Description: tRNA-Lys
Rfam family: tRNA
About the family: Transfer RNA (tRNA) molecules are approximately 80 nucleotides in length. Their secondary structure includes four short double-helical elements and three loops (D, anti-codon, and T loops). Further hydrogen bonds mediate the characteristic L-shaped molecular structure. tRNAs have two regions of fundamental functional importance: the anti-codon, which is responsible for specific mRNA codon recognition, and the 3' end, to which the tRNAs corresponding amino acid is attached (by aminoacyl-tRNA synthetases). tRNAs cope with the degeneracy of the genetic code in two manners: having more than one tRNA (with a specific anti-codon) for a particular amino acid; and 'wobble' base-pairing, i.e. permitting non-standard base-pairing at the 3rd anti-codon position.
Source: RNAcentral
GCGCCGUUAGCUCAAUUGGUAGAGCAGGGGCCUUUUAAGCCCAAGGUUGAGGGUUCGAUUCCCCCACGGCGCA